This 490-nucleotide ribosomal RNA is filed under the name uncultured bacterium. RNAcentral describes it as "partial 16S ribosomal RNA". It matches the Rfam family "Bacterial small subunit ribosomal RNA", at positions 28 to 507 of the family's 1533-position model. The record is from RNAcentral.
GAUGAACGCUAGCUACAGGCUUAACACAUGCAAGUCGCGGGGCAGCAUGGGGGUUGCUUGCAAUCCCCGAUGGCGACCGGCGCACGGGUGAGUAACGCGUAUCCAACCUGCCCUUCACCACGGGAUAACCCGGCGAAAGUCGGACUAAUACCGUAUGUUGUCCAUUGACGGCAUCCGAUUUGGACGAAAGGUUUGGCGGUGAAGGAUGGGGAUGCGUCCGAUUAGCUGGACGGCGGGGUGACGGCCCACCGUGGCGACGAUCGGUAGGGGUUCUGAGAGGAAGGUCCCCCACACUGGAACUGAGACACGGUCCAGACUCCUACGGGAGGCAGCAGUGAGGAAUAGUGGUCAAUGGGCGUAAGCCUGAACCAGCCAAGUAGCGUGCAGGAUGACGGCCCUAUGGGUUGUAAACUGCUUUUAUGCGGGGAUAAAGUGGCCCACGUGUGGGUUUUUGCAGGUACCGCAUGAAUAAGAACCGGCUAAUUCCGUG